Molecule: ribosomal RNA, 506 nt
Filed under: uncultured bacterium
Lineage: Bacteria
Description: partial 16S ribosomal RNA
Rfam family: Bacterial small subunit ribosomal RNA
Source: RNAcentral
AGUGAACGCUGGCGGUAGGCCUAACACAUGCAAGUCGAACGGCAGCACAGGAGAGCUUGCUCUCUGGGUGGCGAGUGGCGGACGGGUGAGGAAUACAUCGGAAUCUACUCUGUCGUGGGGGAUAACGUAGGGAAACUUACGCUAAUACCGCAUACGACCUACGGGUGAAAGCAGGGGACCUUCGGGCCUUGCGCGAUUGAAUGAGCCGAUGUCGGAUUAGCUAGUUGGCGGGGUAAAAGCCCACCAAGGCGACGAUCCGUAGCUGGUCUGAGAGGAUGGUCAGCCACACUGGAACUGAGAAACGGUCCAGACUCCUACGGGAGGCAGCAGUGGGGAAUAUUGGACAAUGGGCGCAAGCCUGAUCCAGCCAUACCGCGUGGGUGAAGAAGGCCUUCGGGUUGUAAAGCCCUUUUGUUGGGAAAGAAAUCCAGCUGGCUAAUACCCGGUUGGGAUGACGGUACCCAAAGAAUAAGCACCGGCUAACUUCGUGCCAGCCGCCGCGGUAA